This 76-nucleotide transfer RNA is filed under the name Yarrowia sp. B02. Its description in RNAcentral is "tRNA-Pro". It matches the Rfam family "tRNA". Rfam says of the family: Transfer RNA (tRNA) molecules are approximately 80 nucleotides in length. Their secondary structure includes four short double-helical elements and three loops (D, anti-codon, and T loops). Lineage: Eukaryota; Fungi; Ascomycota; Dipodascomycetes; Dipodascales. The record is from RNAcentral. RNAcentral also lists the same sequence under 2 other names.
GGCCCGAUGGUUUAGUGGUAUAAUUCUCGCUUAGGGUUUUUGCGAGAGGUCCCGGGUUCAAUUCCCGGUUGGGCCC